Molecule: ribosomal RNA, 228 nt
Filed under: uncultured bacterium
Lineage: Bacteria
Description: partial 16S ribosomal RNA
Rfam family: Bacterial small subunit ribosomal RNA
Source: RNAcentral
CGGGGUGAGUAAUGUAUGGGGAUCUGCCUGAUGGCGGGGGAUAACUACUGGAAACGGUAGCUAAUACCGCAUAAUGUCUGCGGACCAAAGCGGGGGACCUCCGGGCCUCGCGCCAUCAGAUGAACCCAUAUGGGAUUAGCUAGUAGGUAAGGUAACGGCUUACCUAGGCGACGAUCCCUAGCUGGUCUGAGAGGAUGAUCAGCCACACUGGGACUGAGACACGGCCAG